ACACCACAGACACAGAGGAGGUAGGCUUUCUCCUGCUCAGUGGGCCUUGGCCAGCAGCAAGUCCACCUGAAAAGUCACCUUCAUUUCUCCUUGACUUGUUUUGUGCUCGUGAUGGCCACAGGGCAGCUUUCACAGGUGAAAGUAUUUGUGCACUGAUCAGCUUCAGAAAUGACCAAUUUCCAGGCUGGAAGUCAUCAGAGAAGGAGCUGAAAUGUCACUGUCUGUAUUUCAAAGGCCACAGCUACCUUAAAGUGGUGGUACAGUAUGGUAUGACAACUGGCCUUCAGGAGAUCGCUGUUCCUCUUGUGUCCGGACAGUCUGGGCUCUGACCGAGCACUGUACCACCGUACACUAUCCGCACUGUACAGUGAGUGCACAGCAGCACAGCUAUGACAGUGUCCGGCAGACACGAUCAAAAGAAGCAUGAGGAAUGAAGUUCCAGGUACACCAGGAGAUGGAAUCCAAGAGGCAAAUAUUUAUGAAGAAAGAAGACGUAGUAAGACAUACCACACUACCAUGGCUUUUGGGGGAUAUCUUGGACUGUCACAGAGGUGAAAGGUAGCAGCACACUCACAUCUAAGACUGCUCAGUAACCACAGAUAUUUCAAGACUCUCAUGGAUACAGUGUUUUAGAAACCUUGAAGCACCACCAACCCCAACAUAGUUGUAAAUUCACUCUCAUGUUCCACCGAUGCCCUUGUUCUAGUCAGAAGGCUUGCAUCCUGUCUGAUAAGAGGAGGAGGAGGAAGAGGUGGAGGAAUAAGAAGAGGAAGAGGAGGAGGAGAAGAAGAAAGAGAAGAAGAGGAGGAGGAAGAAGUAAAGAAAAUCAUGGGACCUAGCAUACUAUAGCAUUGUCUAAAUUCACAAAUUAUCCUGCCUUUGAAGUUGGUAUUUAUUAGUUUUCACCCUUGCUAUGAUUCAGAUCUAAGUUAUCCUCCAGGAGUCUCAUGUUCUGAGGUUCAGAGGUGAGACUUUUGGAAGGUGAUUGGACUACGGGGGGCUACACUCAUAGGUGUAUUGAUCCAUUGAUGAAUUCAUAGCUAAAUGUGCUAAGAUGUGAGGCCUGUUCCCAUCCACAUGGCUAGUGGUUGGCUUACUGCUUGGCGUGUAGCCAUGGAGAAAGAAAAAUUGUGCCAGGUCAAUUACAUAGUUAAGGAAGACUUUACUGAAGAUUAGUGCAAUACGGGUGAUAGGUUGAACCCAAUCACACAGGAAAACGAUGGGCGAGCUUUUACAUGCUGUGGUGAGCCAGGGGAACUUGCUGAAGAGACCAGGGGAAGGACGGGGUUGUGCUUAGACCAUGUGUGCUUGUUAGUUGGCGCCCAUGUCUCCCGCAGAGAGCAGGAGGCAGGAUACCUGUGUUCCUUGGUGAUGAAAUUUCAAAAACAAGUUUCACAGGUUCUUGAGAAAGAUAUCGCAGGGCUGAAGGAGAUUUAUAUCUCAAAGAGCAAAGAAAGAAUCUACAAUUGCAAAUUUGUGCGAAUGAAUUCUCCAAGGAAAGGGAACACAGGACUAGAGUCAGGAAGGAGCCCGUAGAAAGCUUAGUCAUUUUGACAGGGACACUACAGGGGUCUUUUUAGUGAGUGAUCUCCAUAUCAUGCUAUGCUGGUGUUUAUAUGGCCACUUACUAAGUAGGCCAGUGAUGUGCAACUAAAAAUCCUAAAACAUUUUGUAUGUGCAGUUUAAUUUCUUAGACUUAAUCCUUCAAGAUGUGAUUUUAACAAUUAGUUUAUAGACAGAAGAUCUUAAUCCCUUGCAUUUUCCUACAAAGAAACACAUGCUCUAUGAGAUCAAAGACUAGUUUGGCCUCCCAUCUCCUUGUGCUGGAUAUGGAAUAUUUGUGAGAAUUUUUUUUCCCCACUGCUGUGUGUGGAAAUAGCAAUCUUCCACAAGACACAGUAAACAAAUGCAGGUUAGUUUGAAAUGUAAUGGUCACCUACUGGUAAACACCUGGGUUUCAGGCCAGUCUUCCAGGUGGAAGUACUGGUUCUGUUACUUCAUAAUUAUAGGAACUGGGACAAGUCACAUAAACUCUCUGCCUCUUUGUUUAAUCCUCUGUAAAUGAAGCAAAUACCUAUUGUGGCGAGGUUGCUGGCAGGACUGGAGGAGAGGCUGCCCAUCAAAGCACCCUGUCCCACUGCACAGAGCACACAGAAAGGUGUGGCUGAGCCAUCCCGGAGUCAGCCAGUCUCUAGGUGAGGCUGGCACAGGGAGCCACAGAGAGCUGGGUGCUGCUAAUCAAGCCUUUCAACUUCGAAUAAUGAACCUUCAUUUUGAUUUUGAAUCGACUUUUUCUGCUUGAAUACUUUAUUGGAGCCUUUGUUUCUGCUUAAUUGUUUUAUUUUCAUGACGCUGUGGUUUGAUUCGGAGAGGGAGAAGUUGCUUUGUUUAUCUAAUUCCCUAAUUAAGCUGCCCUAUGGAGGGGCUACAGUCAGUCCCUCAGGCGCUGAAUGAGAGAAGCUAAUCACCACCACAGAGCCCAGCGCAGGAGUCGCUUGGGGAGGAAACUGAUUGUUUUGGAUGUGAAUGCUGCCAAUCAGACUUGGCUGGAGUUUGAAGUCUGCCCCACAGUCUAAGGUUUCAUGCAGUAGAUGUUUCCCUUAUGCUGCUGAGUACCAAGUUUUAGAUUUCAUUGCUCUUUUAAAUAGCACCCUGCCUUCUCUGCUUAAAGACCAGACUGUCCAUCAAAAUGGGUCCUUCAGACUGUUUAGGACUUGCGUCUUUCCAAAGCUUUUUUUACAGCCAUCCUCUUUCACCUCUGUUGAAUCCAAUCUCAGUGUUUCCGGCUGAAGAACCCAUUGGACAUCUGGCCUAACCAAGGACAAUAAGCUAUGAAAAGGUUAGGGCAGCCCCAGAGCUUGGCCCCGGGCCUGGCCACCACAGGGGAUGCCCUGAAUUAAUAAAAAUGAAGAACUGCUUUUCUGUUCUUGUUCCUUAAGCCUUGGGACUAGUAAUCCUACUUUCAUGACUGAACAAGUGAUAUGUACUCCUACCCAAAGUAGGAACAUGCUACGGGUCGUUUGGUACCUGCGCCUUGCCUUCAGAAUAACAGGCACACAUGGAGGGAAAUUACAAAGAGAAACAAGACAACAACAGAAAUGGAAGUAGAAGAAAGCAUACUGUCAACACAUGUUCUGGGUUUGCAGGCUGGCUCUGGACAAGUCCUUAUUUCUCCAGUGGGCAAUUUGGUCUCCAUGAGAUGAUUGUUUCUUCUUGGUGCAGUCUCAGUUUUGUGAGGGUUCUGCUGGAAUCCAAGCUUUCAGACAGACAUUGCCUAAAUAAUUAAGAUGCCUGUACGCAGACCUGACCAAGGAUCUGACCCAAAGUUUAAGGUCAUACGGGAGACAAGUACCAGCAAAAAUAAAUUUUAAUCCCAACUGUCUCAGAAGAAGUCACAAAUCAAGCUUUUAAGGAGGAACAGACCACAUGUUCAAGAUGGCAGCACGAGAAGAUAAAGGAAUGCAGGUCCCUAUACUGGUCCUGGAAGAGCAGCUACUCCUGAGAGUCUAGGACCUCCUCAGACACUUUGCAAAUAAAGCACGUAUCUUUGCUUUGUUAAAUCUAUGAUAUUUUAAGUAUUAUUCAUCAUACAUUCCUCACUAAGCCAUGUUGACAAACAGCCUUCAAAUUCCCUGCUCCUAGGGACAAAAUCUUGUAUUUUAAUGUAUUACAAGUAGAUGUUAAUAAAGAAGAUAUA
Non-coding RNA from Heterocephalus glaber (naked mole-rat), 3697 nucleotides. NCBI's taxonomy places the organism in Eukaryota, Metazoa, Chordata, Mammalia, Rodentia, Bathyergidae. The record is from RefSeq and is a predicted model, not a curated record.